Molecule: ribosomal RNA, 472 nt
Filed under: uncultured bacterium
Lineage: Bacteria
Description: partial 16S ribosomal RNA
Rfam family: Bacterial small subunit ribosomal RNA
Source: RNAcentral
GACGAACGCUGGCGGCGUGCUUAACACAUGCAAGUCGAACGCUGAAGCUUGGUGCUUGCACUGGGUGGAUGAGUGGCGAACGGGUGAGUAAUACGUGAGUAACCUGCCCUUGACUCUGGGAUAAGCCUGGGAAACUGGGUCUAAUACUGGAUACGACAUGUCACCGCAUGGUGGUGUGUGGAAAGGGUUUUACUGGUUUUGGAUGGGCUCACGGCCUAUCAGCUUGUUGGUGGGGUAAUGGCUCACCAAGGCGACGACGGGUAGCCGGCCUGAGAGGGUGACCGGCCACACUGGGACUGAGACACGGCCCAGACUCCUACGGGAGGCAGCAGUGGGGAACAUUGCACAAUGGGCGGAAGCCUGAUGCAGCGACGCCGCGUGAGGGAUGACGGCCUUCGGGUUGUAAACCUCUUUCAGCACGGAAGAAGCGAAAGUGACGGUACGUGCAGAAGAAGCGCCGGCUAACUACGUG